RNAcentral lists this ribosomal RNA (125 nucleotides) under Leptospiraceae bacterium. Its description in RNAcentral is "partial 23S ribosomal RNA". It matches the Rfam family "Bacterial large subunit ribosomal RNA", at positions 2790 to 2925 of the family's 2925-position model. The record is from RNAcentral. Lineage: Bacteria; Pseudomonadati; Spirochaetota; Leptospiria; Leptospirales; Leptospiraceae.
AAGCCCACCUGAAGAUAAGAUCUCCCUGAAGAGCCCGAGAAGAUGACUCGGUUGAUAGGUCACAGAUGUAAGUUCGGUUAACGGAUUCAGUCGAGUGAUACUAAUAGCUCGUUCGGCUUGACCAU